RNAcentral lists this ribosomal RNA (432 nucleotides) under Triticum aestivum (bread wheat). RNAcentral's name for it is "partial small subunit ribosomal RNA". The record is from RNAcentral. Lineage: Eukaryota; Viridiplantae; Streptophyta; Magnoliopsida; Poales; Poaceae.
AUGGAUAAAAAGAUCGAAGUGCGCACGGAGUCAAAGGAAGGUAUGCUUCGCAGUAUCAGUUGUUCUUGCCGCAAAUUGGAAUGCGCAGGCACACCAUGUUCCCACAUAUUUUACAUAUUGGGAAUUUUACAAGAAGAAACACUGCCCAGGUGUUGUGUUCCCACUAGGUGGACAAUGAGUGCAAAAUGUGCAUUCGCACCAACCAGAAAGAGCGAGAUGUAUGCAUACUCUGCAGCCCUACAAAGGUACCGUAAGCUAAGGAAUUUUAGUCACGCAACAUGUUUCAAGGCAUGCCACUCCGAUGAGGCGUUUCAACAUCUAAAAAGGGUUUUUUGGAAGGACAAGAUGUUUGCAAGGGAUCAACAAGUGAACAAGCUGAUAGCAAGGGAUCAACUAAUGCUCAGGGUAACAGCAUUAGGUUUGGCCCGUUGA